GGAUUUUAUACCUAUUUGCCUCUCCAUACUCUGUAAAGAACUCCACUUCUUUGGUAUUCUUCUUGCGAUGAUCUUGUUGCAUCAUAAUUCUGAGAAUACCCAACAACCCAAUUCACCAAUAAUCUCAAAAAAUGCCUACACUAUAUCCACUUCAACUUUCUCCUAUUUUUUCCCAGAUCUUACACAAAAUCAAAUCAACCCCAAACUACAAACACCACAACCAGAAUUAAUCAAAAAUCAGCUUCAAUUCCACCACCUGCAGCUGCUCCGUAUCACCAAAACCGAAAAUCCUCUUCGUUUUACCCCAAUUCACGAGCUUAACAAACUGAAAAAACUCCACUACCAGCUCACUCAUCCAAUUCUAAAGAACCCCACAAAGAUCCCUCACACUACUACUCAAAAAACAACAAAAAAUACCAAAAAAUUCGAAAAAAAACUGAACAGAAACUCAAAUACAGAACAAACCCUUAAUGGGUUUUGAAGAUCUAAUGGUAAUUGACUGAAGAG
Molecule: unclassified non-coding RNA, 507 nt
Filed under: Hevea brasiliensis (rubber tree)
Lineage: Eukaryota; Viridiplantae; Streptophyta; Magnoliopsida; Malpighiales; Euphorbiaceae
Source: RNAcentral